GACGAACGCUGGCGGCGUGCCUAAUACAUGCAAGUAGAACGCUGAAGAGAGGAGCUUGCUCUUCUUGGAUGAGUUGCGAACGGGUGAGUAACGCGUAGGUAACCUGCCUGGUAGCGGGGGAUAACUAUUGGAAACGAUAGCUAAUACCGCAUAAAAUGGAUUAUCGCAUGAUAAUCCAUUGAAAGGUGCAAAUGCAUCACUACCAGAUGGACCUGCGUUGUAUUAGCUAGUUGGUGGGGUAACGGCUCACCAAGGCGACGAUACAUAGCCGACCUGAGAGGGUGAUCGGCCACACUGGGACUGAGACACGGCCCAGACUCCUACGGGAGGCAGCAGUAGGGAAUCUUCGGCAAUGGACGGAAGUCUGACCGAGCAACGCCGCGUGAGUGAAGAAGGCUUUCGGAUCGUAAAGCUCUGUUGUAAGAGAAGAACGAGUGUGAGAGUGGAAAGUUCACACUGUGACGGUAUCUGACCAGAAAGGGACGGCUAACUACGUG
Molecule: ribosomal RNA, 497 nt
Filed under: uncultured bacterium
Lineage: Bacteria
Description: partial 16S ribosomal RNA
Rfam family: Bacterial small subunit ribosomal RNA
Source: RNAcentral